GAUGAACGCUGGCGGCGUGCCUAACACAUGCAAGUCGAGCGAAGCACUUACUUUAGAUUUCUUCGGAAUGACGAAGUUUGUGACUGAGCGGCGGACGGGUGAGUAACGCGUGGGCAACCUGCCCUGUACAGGGGGAUAACAGUUAGAAAUGACUGCUAAUACCGCAUAAGCCCACAGCUUCGCAUGAAGCAGUGGGAAAAACUCCGGUGGUACAGGAUGGGCCCGCGUCUGAUUAGCUAGUUGGUAAGGUAACGGCUUACCAAGGCGACGAUCAGUAGCCGACCAGAGAGGGUGACCGGCCACAUUGGGACUGAGACACGGCCCAAACUCCUACGGGAGGCAGCAGUGGGGAAUAUUGCACAAUGGGGGAAACCCUGAUGCAGCGACGCCGCGUGAGCGAUGAAGUAUUUCGGUAUGUAAAGCUCUAUCAGCAGGGAAGAAAGUGACGGUACCUGACGAAGAAGCCCCGGCUAACUACGUG
Molecule: ribosomal RNA, 481 nt
Filed under: uncultured bacterium
Lineage: Bacteria
Description: partial 16S ribosomal RNA
Rfam family: Bacterial small subunit ribosomal RNA
Source: RNAcentral